Molecule: ribosomal RNA, 274 nt
Filed under: uncultured bacterium
Lineage: Bacteria
Description: partial 16S ribosomal RNA
Rfam family: Bacterial small subunit ribosomal RNA
Source: RNAcentral
AUACGGAGGGUGCAAGCGUUGUGCGGAAUCACUGGGCGUAAAGGGCGCGCAGGCGGUUUGGUAAGUCAGAUUUGAAAGCCCACGGCUCAACCGUGGAAGUGCAUUUGAAACUGCCAGACUUGAGUACCAGAGGGGAAAGUGGAAUUCCCGGUGUAGAGGUGAAAUUCGUAGAUAUCGGGAGGAAUACCGGUGGCGAAGGCGACUUUCUGGCUGGAUACUGACGCUGAGGCGCGAAAGCGUGGGGAGCAAACAGGAUUAGAAACCCUAGUAGUCC